This 85-nucleotide transfer RNA is filed under the name Felis catus (domestic cat). It matches the Rfam family "tRNA". Rfam says of the family: Transfer RNA (tRNA) molecules are approximately 80 nucleotides in length. The record is from Rfam by way of RNAcentral. Lineage: Eukaryota; Metazoa; Chordata; Mammalia; Carnivora; Felidae.
ACCUGGGUAGCUCAGUCGGUUGAGCAUCUGACUUUGGCUCAGGUCAUGAUCUUGCAAUUCGUGGGUUCAAGUCCUGCCUCGGGCU